Non-coding RNA from Phrynosoma platyrhinos (Desert horned lizard), 72 nucleotides. NCBI's taxonomy places the organism in Eukaryota, Metazoa, Chordata, Lepidosauria, Squamata, Phrynosomatidae. The record is from the annotation of a GenBank genome assembly.
GCCUGUGUGGUGUGGUGGUCUGAGCAUUGAACUACCACUCUGGAGACUAGGGUUCGAUUCCCUGCUCAGCCA